This 253-nucleotide ribosomal RNA is filed under the name uncultured bacterium. Its description in RNAcentral is "partial 16S ribosomal RNA". It matches the Rfam family "Bacterial small subunit ribosomal RNA", at positions 524 to 776 of the family's 1533-position model. The record is from RNAcentral.
UACGUAGGGACCGAGCGUUGUCCGGAAUCAUUGGGCGUAAAGAGCGUGUAGGCGGCCAUGUAGGUCCGUUGUGAAAACUCGAGGCUCAACCUCGAGACGCCGAUGGAAACCAUGUGGCUAGAGUCCGGAAGAGGAGAGUGGAAUUCCUGGUGUAGCGGUGAAAUGCGCAGAUAUCAGGAAGAACACCCGUGGCGAAGGCGGCUCUCUGGGACGGUACUGACGCUGAGACGCGAAAGCGUGGGGAGCGAACAGG